RNAcentral lists this ribosomal RNA (460 nucleotides) under uncultured bacterium. RNAcentral describes it as "partial 16S ribosomal RNA". It matches the Rfam family "Bacterial small subunit ribosomal RNA", at positions 338 to 795 of the family's 1533-position model. The record is from RNAcentral.
CCUACGGGUGGCAGCAGUGAGGAAUAUUGGUCAAUGGCCGGAAGGCUGAACCAGCCAAGUAGCGUGCAGGAUGACGGCCCUACGGGUUGUAAACUGCUUUUAUACGGGAAUAACGCGCCUUACGUGUAGGGCUUUGCAUGUACCGUAUGAAUAAGGACCGGCUAAUUCCGUGCCAGCAGCCGCGGUAAUACGGAAGGUCCGGGCGUUAUCCGGAUUUAUUGGGUUUAAAGGGAGCGUAGGCCGCAUGUCAAGCGUGCUGUGAAAUGUCCGGGCUCAACCCGGGCCUUGCAGCGCGAACUGGCGUGCUUGAGUCCGCGGAAAGCAGGCGGAAUUCGUCGUGUAGCGUUGAAAUGCUUAGAUAUGACGAAGAACCACGAUUGCGAAGGCAGCUUGCUGCAGCGGAACUGACGCUGAUGCUCGAAAGCGCGGGUAUCGAACAGGAUUAGAUACCCCUGUAGUC